UAUUGCACUUGUCCCGGCCUUC
Molecule: microRNA, 22 nt
Filed under: Ciona intestinalis (vase tunicate)
Lineage: Eukaryota; Metazoa; Chordata; Ascidiacea; Phlebobranchia; Cionidae
Description: Cin-Mir-92-o69_3p (mature (guide))
Source: RNAcentral